Molecule: long non-coding RNA, 488 nt
Organism: Oryzias melastigma (Indian medaka)
Lineage: Eukaryota; Metazoa; Chordata; Actinopteri; Beloniformes; Adrianichthyidae
Exons: 3
Source: RefSeq, a predicted model, not a curated record
CAGGUCUCACUGGUUUGGAAACAAAUUCAGAGAAAAUGAUGAGGCUCAGUUCUCAGAAAGAAUGGUCAGUGGGAGGAUUUAUAAGGACUGAGUCUGCGUUUCCUCCACACUUCCCUUCUGUCCGUCUGCUGAGGUCUACCACGUCUCACAAACUUUUGACACCAUGACUACAAUCUUUGAGGCAAUUGCAAUUCUCAGGAAGAUUUUUGACAAGUAUGCUGGGAAAGAGGGAGAUGCAAAGACUCUGACAAAGAAGGAAAUCACUACACUGCUGAAAGAGCAGCUUGGAGGAGAUCCUGGAGACCAAGCUGAAAUUGCCCAGUUUUUCGAAAUGCUGGAUGCUGAUGGCGAUGGAGUCGUAGAGUUCUCUGAAUAUGCUGCUCUAGUCGCGAGCUUGGCUAUGAUAUUGGCCCCCUGAAGGAAAGAACUGCCUGGUUUAUCUCAUUUCAAAUGAGCAUUUGAAUAAUAAAAUCAACAUCCAAGCACUA